Molecule: ribosomal RNA, 300 nt
Filed under: uncultured Haloferax sp.
Lineage: Archaea; Methanobacteriati; Methanobacteriota; Halobacteria; Halobacteriales; Haloferacaceae
Description: bacterial SSU rRNA
Rfam family: Bacterial small subunit ribosomal RNA
Source: RNAcentral
GUUAACUCGUGGCCGGGGUCCCCGGGAAUAGGGAGGGUGCAAUCGUUAAUCGAAAUUACUGGGGCUAAAGCGCGCGUAGGUGGUUCAGUAAGUUGGAAGUGAAAUCCCCGGGCUCAACCUGGGAACUGCUUUCAAAACUGCUGAGCUAGAGUACGGUAGAGGGUGGUGGAAUUUCCUGUGUAGCGGUGAAAUGCGUAGAUAUAGGAAGGAACACCAGUGGCGAAGGCGACCACCUGGACUGAUACUGACACUGAGGUGCGAAAGCGUGGGGAGCAAACAGGAUUAGAUACCCGGGUAGUC